UUAGAAUUAGAAAAUAAAGAAGAGAGAAAGAAAAAGAAUAUAAUUUGGUGAGUAAGUAGGCACAUGAGACGUGUCUUGUUUAGGAAAAUAGAGGGAAAAGAAAAAAAAAAGAAUUAAGAAUUAGAAAAUAGAUCAAAAAUCCAUCCUUCUUCUUCUCUCUCUCGACGCAUGCUCCCUCCUUCACUGUAAAAUUUCAACAGCUCUCUACUCUCUCCGAUCAGCCACCGUUAUAUCUCCAAUCACUCCACCGGGAAGCAUGUAGUACCCACCACCAGUCCAAGCUCUCAAUUCCCCCUAGUUUUUCUUAAUUUUGGAGCUCAAGUUGAAAAUCCACCUCCACUUAGCUUUGCAAAUUAGUUGAAAUUAGAGGUGAACCGAGUGCAAGCACAAGCGAUAGGGGAAAGGGGCACAUCCAUGGUUGACUAAACAAGUAAUAGAGUUUUUGUUGACGUGUACAGGUAGUGUACGCGUGUUCUAGAAUUUAAUUUCUUUAACUUUGAUAAAUAUUACUACUUGUUUGUGUGGAUUGUAUACUUCAAGGUAAAGUGACAGAAACAGUGAUAUUGAAAGAUGAGAUACUAAAAUUGUGGUUUGAUAUUUCUUAUGAGAUGCAAGGUGAUUUAUAUA
Non-coding RNA from Salvia hispanica, 627 nucleotides. Lineage: Eukaryota; Viridiplantae; Streptophyta; Magnoliopsida; Lamiales; Lamiaceae. The record is from RefSeq and is a predicted model, not a curated record.